This 2303-nucleotide long non-coding RNA is filed under the name Marmota monax (woodchuck). Lineage: Eukaryota; Metazoa; Chordata; Mammalia; Rodentia; Sciuridae. The record is from RNAcentral.
AGUUAGUACUCUUAUGCAGCAACUGCCUAGUUCCAAUUACAGUCCAAACAACUGUCUUAGAGGUAGGCUUUGUGUGUGUGUGUGUGUGUGUGUGUGUGGAGGGUGUACUCGGAAUUUAACCUGGGGCACUUUUCCUGGUUUUGAUCUUGUGAUCCUCCUGCCUCAGCCUCCUGAGUUGCUGGGAUUACAGUGUGUGCCAUGGCACCUGGCUUACAGGUAGACUGAAAUACUUUCCCACAGCAGUGUUACUAUGAAUUAGUGAAUGAGUUCCGAGGCCAAACUUCUUAAGUCAGGCUAAAACCUUAAUAUAGCUGACCUGUGAUACUGAAGCCACUUGUCUGGUUUUUGGAUCUUAGAAAUAGGGUAGUGUGAACUGUUUGGGAAAAGAAUAGUGGAAGUUUCCCUCCCUUUUCUUAAGUACAAGGUCUUUCUGAUAUUACUUUUUGCACUGCCUCCUACCUCCUUUUCUCCUUAUGGUCCAGGUAUACUUCUGUGAGUUUUGCUCACCUGUUCUCCCAACCAUCAACCUUCCUCCUAGCCUGCUGCACCCCACUCUCCAGGUUCUUCCUAUUUCAACUUCAGUCACCUUCCCCCUCUUUUUUUUUCUUGCCAUCUGUUGUUUGAUGUUUUUUAAUUUUUUUAUUUGUUUUAAUUAGUUAUACAUGACAGUAGAAUGCACUUAUAUACUUUCAUAUAUCAUACAUAGAUGGGAUAUAAUUUCUCAUUUUUCUGAUUAUACAUAUUAUAGAAUCACAUUGGACCUACAGUCACAUACAUACAUAAAGUAAUAAUGUCUGUUUCAUUCUGCUCUUUCUUAUCCCCAGAUCCCCUGCCUUCCCCUCCUAUCACUUUUCUCUACCUAAUCUAAGGUAACACUGUUCUUUUUUUUUUGCAUUACAAUUCUUAACACAUAUAUACCACAAUUUUUGUAUCUGUAUAUAAAGUAUGUCAACACCCAAUUCAAGUCUUCAUACAUGUACUUUGUAUAAUGAUGUCCAUCACAUUCCACCAUCCUUGCUAAUCCCCUGCCCCCUCCCUUUCCCUCCCAUCCCCAUGUAGAAUUCAUCUAUUCCUCCCAUGCUCUCCCUCACCUUCCUCAUCUUGUUAAUCAGUUUUCUAAGUAUGGCAAAUAUCAUGUUCUGCACUGAAAAAAUGAAUGACAUAUGAUUUUCCUCUGCACAUCUGAAACUCUGGAUACCUGCAAUAACCCUAGUGUUGCAGCUGGAUUUUUUAUAAGAGAAUGCCUCCUAACCCACCAACACUCAUUCACAAAGAAUGGCUACAUUUCCAAGUAAAAUGAAAAAUAUUCCAGCAAAUUAGAGAAGGAUAGCAGUACUUUGGGACAGGGGCAACUCUGUCAUAGUUCAUCCCCCUUUGGGGCACAUUCUCAGCUGGUGCUGUUUUCCAUAGUUGUUUCUUUUGCUUUGCUAAGGGGCUGUUUUAGUCAGCUUUUUCAUUGCUGUGACCAAAAAACCUGACAAGAACAAUUAGAAGAGUAAAAGUUUAUUUAGGGUUACAGUUUCAGAGGUCUCAGUCCAUAGAAGGCUGGCUCUAUUCCUCCAGGCUCCGGAUGAGACUGAACAUCAUGGGAAGAGUGGGAGAAGAAAGCAGCUCAUAUGAUGAUCAGGAAGCAGAGAGAGAGACUCCACUCACCAGGUGCAAAACAUAAAUCCCAAAGACAUGCCCCCAAUGACCCACCUCCUCCAGCCACACCCCACCUGCCAUUAGUUACCAUUCAAUUAAUACCAUUGUGGAUUAAUUCACUGAUUGGGUUAAGGUUCUUAUAACCCAAUCAUUUCUCCUUGCAUAUUCUUGCAUUGUCUCACACAUGAGCUUUUGGGGAACACCUUAUAUCCAAACCAUAAUAGGAACCCACUUAUUUUUCUAACGUUUUCUGAAGUUCUUUACCUAUGAGGUAACUUUUUGGUGAAGACUUUUCUAGACACUGAUAUGCUUCCUUAUGUUAAUAACAUUCCUGUGCUCUCAGGCAAAUGCUCAGAUGAUGUCACAAAAACAUGCUCUUUUAAAGUCUGCAAAAUUCAAAUUUUGUAUGCUAAUAGAACCAAAGUAUUAUGAAUGCUUUAGCAUUUUCCAAGCAUAGUAAUUAGCUCAUAACUGGGAAGCAUUUCUGCAGAUGAAUGCAAGCUGUGCAUUUUAAUUCUUUUUUGUUUUGUUUUGCCUCAUAAAGUUCUUAUUUGCAAGAAAUCUCAGUGUGUAAAUAGCUCCUGAUUUAUAACCUUUCAAAUAGCCAUCCCAAUGGGGUGGAACAGUUAUACAUAACCACAUACUUAUGAAAGAUCCCU